GAGCCAUUAGCUCAGUUGGCAGAGCACUUGACUUUUAAUCAAGGUGCCCGGGGUUCGAGUCCCCGAUGGCUCACCA
This 76-nucleotide transfer RNA is filed under the name Oscillospiraceae bacterium. Its description in RNAcentral is "tRNA-Lys". It matches the Rfam family "tRNA". Rfam says of the family: Transfer RNA (tRNA) molecules are approximately 80 nucleotides in length. Their secondary structure includes four short double-helical elements and three loops (D, anti-codon, and T loops). Further hydrogen bonds mediate the characteristic L-shaped molecular structure. tRNAs have two regions of fundamental functional importance: the anti-codon, which is responsible for specific mRNA codon recognition, and the 3' end, to which the tRNAs corresponding amino acid is attached (by aminoacyl-tRNA synthetases). tRNAs cope with the degeneracy of the genetic code in two manners: having more than one tRNA (with a specific anti-codon) for a particular amino acid; and 'wobble' base-pairing, i.e. permitting non-standard base-pairing at the 3rd anti-codon position. Lineage: Bacteria; Bacillati; Bacillota; Clostridia; Eubacteriales; Oscillospiraceae. The record is from RNAcentral.